Molecule: long non-coding RNA, 538 nt
Filed under: Nicotiana benthamiana
Lineage: Eukaryota; Viridiplantae; Streptophyta; Magnoliopsida; Solanales; Solanaceae
Description: long non-coding RNA (NBEN_LNC006117)
Source: RNAcentral
UAAUUUAGACCUUUUUAAUUAAAUAAGUCCUUUCUUCAAAGAAAAAAGUGUUUUUUCCUUCAGCAUUUGUUUGACCCCUCUUCCUCGUUUUCUCCUAAUAGUCCAAAGCAUCUCUCUCUCUCUCUCAGCUGCUGCUACAGUCCUAAACUGGAGGAAGCUACAAAGACCAUUUCUGGCCUCUGCACUCUAUUAUUCUUUCACAGUCAAAGCUAAGUCUUCAACUUCGGCUUAGAGGUUAUAUUGUAAUUAUUGAGAUCUUCUUGCUUUUCCAACUGUAAAGAAUUGUGGUUGCAAAUUUUGAAACAUUAUUCACAGAGUUCCAGCUUUCCCUUCGCCUUAAUUUGGUUAUUCAAGUUUGUCUCUACUGCUGUUUAGAGGGUUUUUGAAUUAUUGCUUUUCGUCAGCGAUUUUUCCGGCGAUCCCUGCUCUUUUCUUCCUAUUCUCUCUUCUGCUUUUUGUGGGGGUGUGUGGGUGUGUUCUGUUUUCUUGGACAUGAGUCUUCAACUUGGGUUUAAAGGUUAUAUUGUAAUUAUUCAGG